Molecule: ribosomal RNA, 432 nt
Filed under: uncultured bacterium
Lineage: Bacteria
Description: bacterial SSU rRNA
Rfam family: Bacterial small subunit ribosomal RNA
Source: RNAcentral
AACGAACGCUGGCGGCAGGCCUAACACAUGCAAGUCGAGCGAACCCUUCGGGGUUAGCGGCGGACGGGUUAGUAACGCGUGGGAAUAUACCCUUUGGUACGGAAUAGCCUCGGGAAACUGAGAGUAAUACCGUAUGUGCCCUUCGGGGAAGGAUUAUCGCCAAAGGAUUAGCCCGCGUUGGAUUAGAUAGUUGGUGGGGUAAGUGGCCUACCAAGUCUACGAUCCAUAGCUGGUUUGAGAGGAUGAUCAGCAACACUGGGACUGAGACACGGCCCAGACUCCUACGGGAGGCAGCAGUGGGGAAUCUUAGACAAUGGGCGCAAGCCUGAUCUAGCCAUGCCGCGUGGACGAUGAAGGCCUUAGGGUUGUAAAGUCCUUUCAGAUGGGAAGAUAAUGACGGUACCAUCAGAAGAAGCCCCGGCUAACUCCGUG